CAGCCCUCGCUCACGCCUUCAACCCUAUAGAUACCCAACGCCCCCUACUCUUCCGAUUUUCGCCAAAAUCUCCUGUUCCCGUGCCCUAGGGCGUCGUCCCGAUCUUGCCGGAGUUCCGCCACCUCCUGAAUCUUCUGCUGGGAUUCACCGAACCGAGCGCUACAACCUCGACCAGAAGCAGAGCACCGCCGCCGUCGCUCCAGUCGUCCAUCGACGCCACCAGAGGGCGUGAUCCUCCCCGACGAGGCCCCUUUUGUCUUCACAGGAGAGUUCUGCGACCGCCCGUCCCUUCCUCCACCGCCGGAGACGCGCGGAAGUCAUCGCCGUCUUUCCCCCUGGUCGCUCGCGCCGUCGUCUUCUUCAGGUCCGGCGCGCAGCUCCUCUAUUCUCCGAUUGCCCAGAGUGUGAAGCGGAUCAGAAUUGAGCGUUAGAAUACUUCAACACCGUUCAAGGCAAGUUUGCACUUUUAAUUUUGCUUAUCCUAUAUUCUGCUAUGCGUGUGUGGUUUUAUGUUAUGCUAUAUGUUUGGCUUGAUAUGUGUAUUCUGUGUGUACCAUGUUUUGUUGUUGAUUGUGGUAUGUGAUGGUGUGAUCAACUUGCUAUGGUAGGCGCGGGCAUGUGUCGAGUGAUCCAUGAAAGUGGUGAGUGUUUAUAGCCGUAGACUCGGGAUCAUUAACCAGGUGAAUGCGUCACUGGCAGAGCGCUCUAUUGUCCCUAGUAAAUGCGCCAUUGACAGAGCGCACUUGAGGCGAGGUAUAGUCUUCGGAACAUAAAUCAGGUGAAUGCGUCCUUGGCAGAGCGCUCUAUUGUUCCUAGAGAAUGCGCCAUUGACAGAGCGCACUUGAGAUACUUCUGAAGUUCUUGUCAUGUUUAUUUAGAAUCUUUGGGUUAUCUUGGGCGAGUAAAUUAGAGACGGUUGUGAGUUCAGGAAGUGGAGGUAGGUGAAGACAUUCUUCUCCAAACUAACUUGUGUGUUUGUUUGUCAUACAUUGCUUUGUGGAUGUAGGUUUGCUAUAUCAUAUUGUGUGAUUUGCCAAUACAUUCAAUGUAUUGACCCUUGUGGCAGCAACCUAUCAUGUUGCAGGAUUUUCAGAUGAUCAGUGAGAUACAGUAGGGUCGCGAGUCUUCACUCAACAUAUUCUCCAGUGGGCAUUGAUGGACUCAUCGUUUAUUAUGCUACCUUUCCGCUGUUAUUACUGAAUAAAGUUAGCUAUGUGCUAUUCAGUUUGUAAUACUUUAUGAAUUCUGGAUCAUACGUUAUAGUAAAUGAUGCACUUGUUAUUUGAUAUUCAUAUGU
Molecule: long non-coding RNA, 1297 nt
Organism: Triticum aestivum (bread wheat)
Lineage: Eukaryota; Viridiplantae; Streptophyta; Magnoliopsida; Poales; Poaceae
Exons: 3
Source: RefSeq, a predicted model, not a curated record